CCAGACUCCUACGGGAGGCAGCAGUGGGGAAUAUUGCACAAUGGGGGAAACCCUGAUGCAGCGACGCCGCGUGAGUGAAGAAGUAUUUCGGUAUGUAAAGCUCUAUCAGCAGGGAAGAAAUAGCGACCUUUGGGUCGCCAGACGGUACCUGAUUAAGAAGCCCCGGCUAACUACGUGCCAGCAGCCGCGGCAAUACGUAGGGGGCAAGCGUUAUCCGAAUUUACUGGGUGUAAAGGGGGCGUAGACGGCAGCGAAAGUCUGAAGUGAAAUGCCGGGGCUAAACCCCAGAACUGCUUUGAAAACUGUGCAGCUAGAGUGCAGGAGAGGUAAGUGGAAUUCCUAGGGUAGCGGUGAAAUGCGUAGAUAUUAGGAGGAACACCAGUG
This 384-nucleotide ribosomal RNA is filed under the name uncultured bacterium. RNAcentral describes it as "bacterial SSU rRNA". It matches the Rfam family "Bacterial small subunit ribosomal RNA", at positions 331 to 714 of the family's 1533-position model. The record is from RNAcentral.